RNAcentral lists this ribosomal RNA (1159 nucleotides) under Parthenium virescence phytoplasma. RNAcentral describes it as "bacterial SSU rRNA". It matches the Rfam family "Bacterial small subunit ribosomal RNA", at positions 170 to 1346 of the family's 1533-position model. The record is from RNAcentral. Lineage: Bacteria; Bacillati; Mycoplasmatota; Mollicutes; Acholeplasmatales; Acholeplasmataceae.
GGCAUCUUCUUGUUUUUUAAAGACCUAGCAAUAGGUAUGCUUAGGGAGGAGCUUGCGUCACAUUAGUUAGUUGGUGGGGUAAAGGCCUACCAAGACUAUGAUGUGUAGCCGGGCUGAGAGGUUGAACGGCCACAUUGGGACUGAGACACGGCCCAAACUCCUACGGGAGGCAGCAGUAGGGAAUUUUCGGCAAUGGAGGAAACUCUGACCGAGCAACGCCGCGUGAACGAUGAAGUAUUUCGGUACGUAAAGUUCUUUUAUUAGGGAAGAAUAAAUGAUGGAAAAAUCAUUCUGACGGUACCUAAUGAAUAAGCCCCGGCUAACUAUGUGCCAGCAGCCGCGGUAAUACAUAGGGGGCAAGCGUUAUCCGGAAUUAUUGGGCGUAAAGGGUGCGUAGGCGGUUAAAUAAGUUUAUGGUCUAAGUGCAAUGCUCAACAUUGUGAUGCUAUAAAAACUGUUUAGCUAGAGUAAGAUAGAGGCAAGUGGAAUUCCAUGUGUAGUGGUAAAAUGCGUAAAUAUAUGGAGGAACACCAGUAGCGAAGGCGGCUUGCUGGGUCUUUACUGACGCUGAGGCACGAAAGCGUGGGGAGCAAACAGGAUUAGAUACCCUGGUAGUCCACGCCGUAAACGAUGAGUACUAAACGUUGGGUAAAACCAGUGUUGAAGUUAACACAUUAAGUACUCCGCCUGAGUAGUACGUACGCAAGUAUGAAACUUAAAGGAAUUGACGGGACUCCGCACAAGCGGUGGAUCAUGUUGUUUAAUUCGAAGGUACCCGAAAAACCUCACCAGGUCUUGACAUGCUUCUGCAAAGCUGUAGAAACACAGUGGAGGUUAUCAGUUGCACAGGUGGUGCAUGGUUGUCGUCAGCUCGUGUCGUGAGAUGUUGGGUUAAGUCCCGCAACGAGCGCAACCCUUAUUGUUAGUUACCAGCACGUAAUGGUGGGGACUUUAGCAAGACUGCCAGUGAUAAAUUGGAGGAAGGUGGGGACGACGUCAAAUCAUCAUGCCCCUUAUGACCUGGGCUACAAACGUGAUACAAUGGCUGUUACAAAGGGUAGCUGAAGCGCAAGUUUUUGGCGAAUCUCAAAAAAACAGUCUCAGUUCGGAUUGAAGUCUGCAACUCGACUUCAUGAAGUUGGAAUCGCUAGUAAUCGCG